CACCCCUUACACAUUGCACCACUCACACACACCACUGCUCAUAUGCCCUACUACAGCCCCAUUUCUCAGCAGACCUCAGGUAAGUUGUCAAACUGUUCUUAAACGGUUUGACUACUUACUCUGGGAGGGGGUCCCGGCACUGUUGACACCAUAACCACUACACUGAGCUGUAGUGGUUAUUGUGUCUGGAUUAUUUCUUUAAAUAAUCUACAAGUGCCCCUCCCGAGAUCAG
Non-coding RNA from Pelobates cultripes (western spadefoot toad), 232 nucleotides. NCBI's taxonomy places the organism in Eukaryota, Metazoa, Chordata, Amphibia, Anura, Pelobatidae. The record is from the annotation of a GenBank genome assembly.